RNAcentral lists this ribosomal RNA (460 nucleotides) under uncultured bacterium. Its description in RNAcentral is "partial 16S ribosomal RNA". It matches the Rfam family "Bacterial small subunit ribosomal RNA", at positions 338 to 795 of the family's 1533-position model. The record is from RNAcentral.
CCUACGGGUGGCAGCAGUGAGGAAUAUUGGUCAAUGGACGAGAGUCUGAACCAGCAAAGUAGCGUGAAGGAUGACUGCCCUAUGGGUUGUAAACUUCUUUUCUAAAGGCAUAAAACGAGUCACGUGUGCCUUUUUGCAUUUACUUUAUGAUUCAGGAUCGGCUAACUCCGUGCCCGCAGCCGCGGUAAUACGGAGGAUCCGAGCGUUAUCCGAAUGUAUUGGGUUUAAAGGGAGAGUAGAUGGGUUGUUAAGUCAGUUGUGAAAGUUUGCGGAUCAACCGUAAAAUUGCAAUUGAUACUGGCAGUCUUGAGUACAGUUGAGGUAGGCGGAAUUCGUGGUGUAGCGGUGAAAUGCUUAGAUAUCACGAAGAACCCCGAUUGCGAAGGCAGCUUACUAAACUGUGACUGACAUUGAUGCUCGAAAGUGUGGGUAUCAAACAGGAUUAGAUACCCGUGUAGUC